CUAUAGAAUAGAAUAGAAUAGAAUAUUUUAUUUACCAAAUUAGGGCCCCAGGAGGGCAUAUGAUACAGACAAUAUUAUUAUAAACAAUAACAUAUGCAAUACACACACAGUAAAGAUAUGUAACAAGUGUUAUAAAAAUAAUAAAAUAAAAUAAUAUAACACAGAAAAUACACUCAACGAAAUAGUAGCAAUGUAUUAUUAUUCAAUGAAUACUAUGUUGAAAAUGACUCAAGUGCACCCGGUAAGUGUAUCUUCACUUUGAGAAGACAAACAUGAGGCAUUAGUAGUUUGUGCGGAGAAAUGUCAAUAUAUAAAAAUACAAAAAAAAUACAAAAAGAACCCAAUAAAAAACAAAGCAAUUAAGCACUCCCACAUUUGACUAUGAGGUAUACUGCAAAUAACAAAGUUUAUUUAAUAAAGGAUAUUUAAUAUGACUUAUCUGCAGAAAGCACCAAGAGUCGGUGCUUAAAGGGGAGUCCCUACUUGUACUUAAUGCAGAUGAGUCAAGC
RNAcentral lists this long non-coding RNA (509 nucleotides) under Mytilus galloprovincialis (Mediterranean mussel). The record is from RNAcentral. Lineage: Eukaryota; Metazoa; Mollusca; Bivalvia; Mytilida; Mytilidae.